UCACAAAAAUCGCCUGGCAAGGCUUUUGCUGA
RNAcentral lists this non-coding RNA (32 nucleotides) under Rattus norvegicus (Norway rat). The record is from RNAcentral. Lineage: Eukaryota; Metazoa; Chordata; Mammalia; Rodentia; Muridae.